GCCAACGAUCAUACCACGUUGAAUACACCGGUUCGCGUUAGAUCACUGAAGUUAAGCAACGUCGGGCGUGGUCAGUACUUGGAUGGGUGACCACUUGGGAACAUCACGUAUCGUUGGCUCUU
This 122-nucleotide ribosomal RNA is filed under the name Pachypsylla venusta (hackberry petiole gall psyllid). Lineage: Eukaryota; Metazoa; Arthropoda; Insecta; Hemiptera; Aphalaridae. The record is from RNAcentral.